GGAGAGCGAAGCAAAAACAUGUCCCUGAAGACUGAGGCUGUGCCUUUUCCCGUCCACAGGCUUGGCAGAAGAAACUAGAGCUCCAGAGAACAAAAAUACAAAUGUGUUAUCUGGACCAGCCUGCAGCUCCAAGAUGAAAACAUCACUGCCAGGUCUCAGACUGCCAACCUUCAUGGCAUCAUCACUGCAAAUGUUCCCAGUCCCUCCCCACGCUCGGGCCAAGUCAUGAGUACAAAAAUGUUUGCAGUAUUAAUA
This is a long non-coding RNA of Psammomys obesus (fat sand rat), 255 nucleotides long. RefSeq lists it as uncharacterized. The record is from RefSeq and is a predicted model, not a curated record. Lineage: Eukaryota; Metazoa; Chordata; Mammalia; Rodentia; Muridae. The transcript has 2 exons.